Molecule: long non-coding RNA, 1127 nt
Organism: Andrographis paniculata
Lineage: Eukaryota; Viridiplantae; Streptophyta; Magnoliopsida; Lamiales; Acanthaceae
Exons: 3
Source: RefSeq, a predicted model, not a curated record
GCUUUUCUGGCGCGGCGUGUUUAAUGCUCUUCCUCUAUCUUCAUUUGAAGGUUAGAUUCUCGACAGGGUACUAAAAGCUCCAUAUGGAAAUCCCCGAUCCUCUGUUCUUCCCUGGCUAAUAAGAUGUGUUAGUGCAACAUCCAACAACCCAUCCAAAGAAUAUGAAAUUCUUAUCAAGUUGUGUCGAGUGCACGAAGCAAAAGUCGUAAUUCUGGGGAUUCCACCCAAAUUCUGAGAAAAUAAAGUAUAUGAUGUCAAAAGAUAGAUAAUGUAGCCCAGCUCAAGUAUUACCUGCAAGUGGGGCCAUCCAGUUGGGACUUGCUCUGCUGCCCCUGCUAUUUGGUAUACUGCACAAACCUCAUGAAGCAGAAUUAAUUUAUGCAGACAUGACAUGGUCAUGGUCAUGGUGUGUUCAUGUCCGUGACUAAUUAAAAUGAAAACGACCUUCCUAGGGACUUGGGGUCCCGGGUGUAGCCAAGAGCAUGUGGCUAGCUAGGUUUGAAGUGGAAUCGAGGAAUGGAGAUGGCGCUCAAAAAUACAAAAUCGUGGGCGCAAUAAAUUUCAUUAAAUCCAAUUAAGAGCGGUUGGUGGCGUCCGCGAGAAAAAGGCGGGAACGGCGCCACAGACAGCGACGGUAAAGCGGUUUGACUAUCACAACAUCCACUUGUGACUACUGAAAUCACUCCCGUCUUCCCCCUCCUCUUCCACACCUGCACCAUACUCAAUCAUAUGUAUAAUUGAAUAUAUAUAUAUAUAUAUUAUUCUUACAGUGACUGUACCAUGUAAUCGUAUGAUCAAGUUUAGGUUCAUUUGGCUCAGAUAACAAUCAUACGACAAAAAGACCAAAUUACUUUUUCUUUAUUCCAAGUUCGGAGACAAAAUAACAAGAUAAUAAAGUACACUAAGGUAUAGACUAAAAAAGAUAGUGAUGUGUGGAAUAUCCGUCAAAACAGGGGAAAAGAAAUUGAAGAAGAUGAUGAUAGAAAAUCCAGCAUGGUCGGAUUAUAUUUGGACUCAAUCGACGGUUAACAGCCGGCCGACGAGACACUUAAUUACAAUCACGAACAAUGAAAUUUUACAUAUAUAUAAUUCCUCGUAAGAUUUGGAUUUGUCUUUGUGUAAAAAUU